This 1478-nucleotide unclassified non-coding RNA is filed under the name Bombus terrestris (buff-tailed bumblebee). Its description in RNAcentral is "misc RNA ENSBTSG00005037115.1". Lineage: Eukaryota; Metazoa; Arthropoda; Insecta; Hymenoptera; Apidae. The record is from RNAcentral.
CGACCAAUGUUAGAACGAUCGAUUGUCCUGUUUAUACUCGUCAAAAAAGAAAGUCAAUACAGCAUUUUACAACACCUGACCCACACGCGUGUUACAUCAAUGCCACCACUCGUACAUUUAAAAUAAUGACAGCCUAAUUUUAUUUAAGUUUAGCAAAAUCGAUUUCAGCGUAAUUGAAGCCUUCUUGGGAUGCUGACGAAAUAGGUGCCACGUUAGCAACCUCAGGAAGAUCUAGACUAGCGUAGUGCAAAAUUUCUGCAUCAAUUUGCACGAAAUUCUCCUUUUCUAAGGGGCUUGGCAUGGCGGUAGGUGUAGGUGUGGGCGUCUCGUCUAGCAAUUUAGGAGACGAGGCCCGCUUUUCAACGGUUGGCUUAAAACCAGGUAACGUCGGACUGGUGUUUGGAGACGCAGUGAUUAAACGUGGUUUUGAUACGUUCAAAUCGGAAAACUUCUUUAUUCGAGCGUUCAAAGGUGUUUGAUCGUUGGGAGAGUUAUUCCAUCUCAAGUGUAUGGAAAGGUACUUUUAAACUAAAUAUAGAUCCUUAGAAAGCAAAAGUAUCGUCAAACAAUCGAAACUCCGAUAUAUUAUAUCUUCGAAGAUAGCUAUCUGUUUAAACAACGGCGAUACGAAGCGAAUUUAAAUCGUAUACCUGCUAACAAUAAGAUAAGGUUGCAAUAUACUAUCAUACUUUCUAACUCGUAUCACACUUUGAAAACGAUUCCUAAUAAUUCACCUUUUACGAUUAGACAGCUGAUUAUGAGACGGUAGCCUUUUUUUGACUACAUGAUCUUUUCCAAAUGUUAUUUAUACUACCUAUACUAUCGCUGUCAAAAGCAAAUGAAAGCCAAGUAAAUCGAAUUUCUACCGGUGAAGAUGAAUUAGAAAUGUACGAUUCACACGAUAGACAUGUAACUGGACUGAAAGGCAAAUUACGCAAGAUUAUUAGAAGUAGAGUGUUAGAAAUCGAUUGAACUACUUAGAAUCCCCGUUCGAGAUAACGAUCUAUUUUAAAACUGACAUUGACUCCGACAGCUGAGAGAGCGUGGACGCGUGUUGUAUAUUAUCUUAAAAUCCAACACCGAUAAGUGUAAAUUUUAGAUAUUGUUCUAAUAAUUACGCUACCUCCGUUGCUUUCAACGACUUCAUCAAAGAUAUAACGAUUCUCAAUUAUUUCAUAAAUACAGCGGAACAGCUAUUUGCUAUUAAAACAGACCGAUUGAAAAUUCGUCGUCCUUUAAAUCGAAAGUAGACGAAAGAGAUGCAACUAACAUUUUUACCUAAGCAAAUAUUUCUGCGAAAUCAGGUUUACGUUAAACAACGAGAAACUAUAAGUUACUAUAAUAACGUGUUACGUAAUCAUCUUUAAAAAAGAUUGCGUAAUAAAAAAAUUGACUGUUUUAUUGGACAACGUAUUUUUUACCUUUUGCAUCAAUUUGUUCAAGCACGAUGCUAGGUAUCGCGAUUAUAUAAUGGCAAU